GAUGAACGCUGGCGGCGUGCCUAAUACAUGCAAGUCGAGCGAACGGACGAGAAGCUUGCUUCUCUGAUGUUAGCGGCGGACGGGUGAGUAACACGUGGAUAACCUACCUAUAAGACUGGGAUAACUUCGGGAAACCGGAGCUAAUACCGGAUAAUAUUUUGAACCGCAUGGUUCAAGAGUGAAAGACGGUCUUGCUGUCACUUAUAGAUGGAUCCGCGCUGCAUUAGCUAGUUGGUAAGGUAACGGCUUACCAAGGCAACGAUGCAUAGCCGACCUGAGAGGGUGAUCAGCCACACUGGAACUGAGACACGGUCCAGACUCCUACGGGAGGCAGCAGUAGGGAAUCUUCCGCAAUGGGCGAAAGCCUGACGGAGCAACGCCGCGUGAGUGAUGAAGGUCUUCGGAUCGUAAAACUCUGUUAUUAGGGAAGAACAUAUGUGUAAGAAACUGUGCACAGCUUGACGGUACCUAAUCAGAAAGCCACGGCUAACUACGUG
Molecule: ribosomal RNA, 497 nt
Filed under: uncultured bacterium
Lineage: Bacteria
Description: partial 16S ribosomal RNA
Rfam family: Bacterial small subunit ribosomal RNA
Source: RNAcentral